AAGAAAAUUCAGGGACGUUUUAGAUGGCUUGAUGGAAAUAAAAUAAUGACGUACAAUUCCUGGGAAUUCUAUCAGCCAGACAACUUCCUCGGACAUGAGAAAUGUGUAGAGGCGAACUAUAUAUACUUGGGGCUCUGGAAUGAUCAGAAGUGCGGGAAGAAGAGAGCCUUUGUCUGCCAAAAGCAAAUGUGAUCAU
This is a long non-coding RNA of Thalassophryne amazonica, 196 nucleotides long. RefSeq lists it as uncharacterized. The record is from RefSeq and is a predicted model, not a curated record. The transcript has 3 exons. Lineage: Eukaryota; Metazoa; Chordata; Actinopteri; Batrachoidiformes; Batrachoididae.